Molecule: small nucleolar RNA, 132 nt
Organism: Tachyglossus aculeatus (Australian echidna)
Lineage: Eukaryota; Metazoa; Chordata; Mammalia; Monotremata; Tachyglossidae
Source: RefSeq, a predicted model, not a curated record
CCCAUCUCAGGGUUGCACCUGGAGAGUUUCUGGUAUUCUACCAGUCUCAACUUUGGGAGGGAGAGACAAGCAUAUUCAUUCCAUUCCUAGCUUGGCCAAUGGCUAGUGACUGGAAGAAAAUCUGCUACAAGC